AAUUAAUUGUAGAUUUUAAAUGAUUGUAUAUGCUUUUAACAAAAAAAAAAAAAAAAGAAUUGAAUGUGGUUCAUUAAACACUAAACGAAACCCAGGCUUCUAUACCACCGCUGCAAGGAUGGCCGGGAUUUGGUGUUAUUUCUUUGUCAGAUUGGUGAUCUGAAUCGUUUAUUUGGAAGUUGGUUUGUGGUGCUUUCCUUGCCAAGUUGAUUGCUGCUUCAACAAUUGGGGAUUGUGAAAUUUUUUUAAGCUGUGAUUAACCAUUUGUUUGGGAAUUUUCAUUUUCCCGUUGAUGGUUGUUACCAGUAUGUGUAUAGAAACUUAGCCUUUGAUUGUUUGAGCAAACAGAUAUCAAAUUAUUAUUGUCAACAAUGGUGAUUUUGAGGAGAAAAGAAACACUAUAGUAGGUCAAGCAUGGAAGACCCGAUGCAGCGAUAUCUCUUCUUCGCCGUGACAAAGGGAACUCGCACCGGUGUUUUCACGACCUAGGAAGACGCUAGGGAGCAACUUCGUGAUUUUAAUUUUCCAGAAGUCCAUGGCUUUAACAGUUACCAACAAGCUGUGUUGGCCUUCAAUGCAAGAUUGUGGUGCAUUAUGGCUGAGAAAUGUGCAACUCUAGAAAUGAUGGGCGGUUCCAUCGAUACUGUGUGUGGUCAAAAAGGAGGCUCAGAGUGUGGAAGUUUUUGUGGCCGUCCAAGUGUUUCUUGGCUGCCAGUCAUUCCAUAAGAGGAGCUGAAUGCUAAAUUUGCUAUAGUGAAUAGCAUGGAGAAUUGGUUGGUGAAGCUUUGCUAUGAUUCUGAAAUUCCUGCUCCUUGUUUCAUCAAGUAGGAGAGAUAUCUGAGAGACCAAGGUCCAUUCUAUGGCUUUACCGUGGUGGUUCCUGGUGAACCAUAUGAGGUUGAAUUAAAUGCCAAGGGACGAUUUUCUAUGGUGGAAAAGGCUGCCCGCGAAGAUGCAGCAAUGGAGAUGCUUGGUCAAGUGCUUGAUAUCACUGGUAAGGAGAAUAAAGACUAUAGUUACUCAAAAGUUAAGCUUCUUCGUGAUAGUAACAAUGCACUUCAGGCUAAGGUCGGUUAAUUGGAGGAUGCUUACGAGAUGCUUAAGGCUAGUUAUAAAGCUACAGUGAACACUCGCAUUGAAGGUCAAUCUCCGUAACUUAUGUUUGGUUGAAUACAUUAUGGUGUAGUACGUAGGACGAGGGUGGUGGCUUAGUAAAUUUAGUUGUGUUAUGUAUGAGACUGUAGACUAGUUAAUUCUGUUGUAAGUUUGUGUUGGUGUUGAAUUAAUUAAUGAAACUAGAGUUAUGUUGUAGUAGUAUUUGUGCUAAUAUUCUACUAUAAAACUGGUGAUAGUGAGUACAUUUUUUGUGUAGUAUUGAGUACUUUAAAAUUUGUCUUAUGCUCUUGACAAAGGGUUAAAGUAUGCUUCAUUGAAAAGGCUGUUUUGAGGAUAUGAGUGAAUCAGACUUCGGAAGCGUGUUUGUAUUUGCAGUGGGAGGCAACCUCAUUGAAUGCAUUUAGCAUUUUCUAUGAAAUAUAAAGGCACGUUGUUUUGUGUCAUUGUCUCAGGGAUUUUAUUAUAACUUGAAUUAUGUUACAGUGCUUUUGUGAUUGUAGUGACACAAGCAAAUUUGGAAUAACAUAUGAUGUUUUCAGGUCGAUAGCUUUAUGUGGUACUUGAAUUAAGAUUCAACUAAGAAUGAUUUCAAUAAUAUUUACACAGGCUUAAAUUCUAAUAAAGGCUAAUACGCAGUAGUUUUUAGGAUGUAGACUUAAACCUCACAAUUAACUGUAAUAAGUUGAAAUAAUAAAAUUCUGAAUGAAUUUUCAACUUGUAGAUUUGCCUAUUAAGGAUGGCUAGGUAAAGCACCAAUAAAGUAAUGGUUAAUAAGAAAAUGGCAGCUGCAUUAAUAGAUAUACGUGGAGGCUUAGUUCCUUAUAAUAGUAGAGGACCUUUAGGCAGCAAAUCCUGUUGUGUUGGCAGUGGUGGAUCGGAGCCAGGGUCGUAGCCAUCAACAAUUGGUGCAUGAGGAACCUUGAGCUGAGUGUGGUCUUUAGCAGCACCUUCUAUUAGACUGCCUUGGAGGUGGUCUUCAACAUACCAUUCAGUUUGAGCUCCCAUGGUUUGGCUGAUGUACUCAGCCCAUGCUAGUCUUGCAUCAUCAAUGUUUCUGAAGGAUUAGUAUGAGUUACCACUAAACCCAUCAACUUGUGCAUGGCAUGCCAGCCAAGUUGUAUAAAUUUCUGGGUUUUUCCUUACGAAAAACCACAUAGACUUUCUUGUUUUGUCUCACCAUGAUGGGUGAAGAUUUGAUGCAAAUUGUUUGUGGAAUUGUCUCCCUUGGUGGACUUUUCGUUCUUAUAAAUGAUAAUAGAGGGUGUAGUUAGGUGGAAUAAUUAAUGAGAUCAUUUAAUUCUUUCAUGGCCUCACAAAUAUUUAAAUAAAUAUCUUAAAUAAGGCACCUCAUAAAGCUGCUAUAAACUAAGAAAAAGUUUGUCUGUCUGAUACAGUCCAUGUACAGUGGUUACCCAGGAAGGUCUGCUCUGGUUAUGCAGACAAAAGAUGUUAGCAACAAAGUAUACUUUGGCGGAAAAAUAUAUAGAGGGAAAAUCAUGUUAUAUAUACUAUAACAUAAACAUCUGCUAUUGCAACCUUCAUUAAUUCAUAAUCUUAUGAUAGUUGCACAUGCAAACGUUGAAGAGGUGCAUGGCCGCUCCUAAUAGGUGUCAUUUUUUUUCAUGUAUAAUAAGUUGAGUAGUGUUGCUACAUAUAGGUAAACUAGGUGACAUUAUUCUUGUAUGGUGUUCUAGUUGUCUCUUUUGUAGGUCUCCUGAGUAUUCACUUUAUGGAAAGGUAUCUUCCAAGAGUGACGAGAUGGCAGCAACAUUUUGUUGUCAUCACAGCUACAUGAAGACAUGUCCGAAUACAUUCUUGACAGUCCUCUCCCGAAUGUUCUAAAGAAUCCAACACAGUUGGGGUGUUAAUGAUAAUGACAUCCCAAACUUGACGGCUCCCGACUCCGACGAGGAUGAACUAGGCGGUCAAUUAACAGCUCCCAUGAGAAAGAAUAGGAGGCUAUUUGAUACACCAAGGGGAACUGCAUCAGCCCCUGCCAAGCGUUCCAGAGCAGCUUCUUGUUCUAAAGUGACUCGAAAGAGUAUAAAGACGAAUUUCAAGCCUCAUCAUGAUAUGGACCUUAAUUGGGCUGAUACUGUGCUAUUCAAGUUUUUGUUUUCCGAUGGGCACCCUUUAGAAUUCAAUCUCUCAUGCCUGGCCGUGAGAUUGAUGGCAGGGUUGUUGAAAUGGUUGUGAUGCUGAAUGCAUGCUCGAUACAACACCUGAGACAUGCACGCUACUGGAUUCUUCCUCCCAAAUUUGCUGAUGACGUGAUCUGAGGUGUAUCAAUAGAGGAGCUCGUUGAAACAUAUGUCCCAUUCUGGGUCAAACCAAGCAGAUAUCUUGAUCAUAUAUUCGUUCCUGUAGAAGACAUCUUCAUGCACUGGUGGUGUAUGGUCGUUGACUUCCCUAACCAAUGUGCUUACUUAUUGGACUCGUGGCCAGAGCCAAACAUGGUCACUGAUAGGGAGAAACUUAUGUGGACAAUGCUAGGGAGGCUUCAUGAGGUGAUGACUUCUCCAGCUUAUGGACCUCCUGCAGUUUACACUCCUAGCAAGCUUCCUGACUGGCCAAUCCGUAAAGGCCAAGGAAUCCCCAAUUGCAGUACAAGUUACAACUCUGCUUCUUGGGUGAUAUCAUGGCUACACCAUGAGGGAAAUUUCAACCCAUUGCAAAUAAGUGGAACGGAAAUUUGCCUAAGCUGUGCUUGUUUUGAUAACGUCUCCAGCUUGAUGAUUAUAUUCUGCGUGGGAAUACUGCUGUUUUGCUUGCUGGAGGAACAUUCAAUGUAGUUGGAAAUUUGGUGAGGAUUUGGGCUGCAGAUUGGCACGGAGGUGUAUAGGCAUGAGCAUACAUGGGUACCGUUACCAAGUCAUUGACAGUCGUAGUUUCAGAUGGACUAAAUUUAUAGUUCGCUCCAUGGGAUGGGAUAAAUCCAUGGCCUAAAUAAGCUCCUUUGCGUAUGAAAAAUGACCCAAAGUUAGCAGCAGUGUUUAGAAUUUAUUAACUACUUCGUCUUAUUUUGUGUGGUUUGUAAUCAUAAUAUUUUAUGCAAUGACGGUGGCUGUAUUGGUUAUUAAAUUUAUCCAGGA
Molecule: RNA transcript, 4208 nt
Organism: Arachis stenosperma
Lineage: Eukaryota; Viridiplantae; Streptophyta; Magnoliopsida; Fabales; Fabaceae
Exons: 10
Source: RefSeq, a predicted model, not a curated record